GCCGCAUCCCCGCCGCCUCCUCCUGCAGUCGCUCGUCCCUCCUCCUCCACCCAACCCCUAACCCUAGCAGCUCCCGCCGCCGCCGCCGUCUACUUCGCCCAGCCCUGCACACGGCAAGAGGAGCGCCCCUACCCUCUCCUCUCCUCCUCCCCUCAUCACGAGCCAGGACAGGGAGGGCCACCUUGGCCGGGCAGGUCAGGCGGCGCGUCCAGAUCACCGAGGAGCCACCCGCAAGGUCGGCCAUGGUGCAACCGAGCAGAGCAGGUACUACGCUUGUCGUGGAUUGCUGCCUCACGUGUACGCAAAGCACAUCUUGGGUGUUUAGGGAGUUGUACAGGAACAACCUCAAUGGCGAGAUCCCAAAAGAAUUGGGCAAACGGAAGAAAUUGAUCGGUUUGGAUUUGUAUGCCGAUAAUCACCGGAAGAAUCCCCAAGUCACUUUCCAAGCUCAGCUCACUAAUAUUGAUGUAUAUAUUAUCCUCUGAUUGCAGUUAAUUCCUCCAUAGUACAAAUGCCCAUUCUAAAAAAACUAGAGUACUAAUUGAUGGCAUCUUAGUCCAAGUGAUGUACCCAAAAUGGCUGGGUAGUCGUGCCCAUAAUUCAGAUCAUACUGAAAUGCAAUUUAAAAAGUUUGUUAAAAGGAUGUAGAUUCAUGCACCUCCGGGAAGAGGACGACCCGCGGUGAGCAGCCUCUGAUCCGCCGUGCGAAGUUAGCUAGCGGGGGUCGGGUCCCAAGGGGUAGAGAUGCAGUUCUCUGGAGCUACUGGGAAGAAGAAGAUAUGUACUGAUUUCGUCUCGACUCGGUGCAACGACUCCAUGAUUGAUUCGAUCCAAUUUUCCGAGCCCAGACCAAAAUAUUUGUUGAACAACUUGCCUCAAGUAUAUUGGGACCCUUUGUGAUCUAUAUCAGAUCUGCAAUGGGCUGAAGAACGAGGCAGUCCUUGGAAGCAGCACAUACAUGUGAUGCCCCUCUCACUCUGGUUCCAAGAUGGAGUUCAAUCUUGUGUCCCUGCUUCGUCAGGGAAAUACCAUUUGGCGUAUCCGUGUGUAUGUCUCACGACUAUGGCAGCACCGUGGUGGGACUAAUAAUGAACCCAUUACGGAUACAUACCGCCAGGGGUAACCACAUAUACGCUGAGGUGCUAGAAAUAAUAUCAACAGCUUCAUGGAAUGUAUUGAAGAAGGUGAUGUCAUCAUGACUCCAGCAACUCCACUUACGCAUCUAGCAAUCUUGCAGGGAAUAGUUCUAAACCAUCGGCUUCAGUUGGCAUGUUACCUGAGGGUCGUACUUCCCAUUACAGGCCGGCGAGAUGGCAGAUUCGGUUAGUGAGAAGAUCGUCCAAAAGAACAUCAUCGAGAAAGACGAGCUAAUGCAAAGAGGUUUGAACCAUUUGUUCCUGUUAUUGCCCCAGUGAGUGCGGGCAAGAAAGGCAGGAAGAAGUGAUCCCUUCUGUUAGCUUCUCGUGGCCAGGGUCGCAAUGUACGUGGAGGUGUUCAAUAGAGGGGACAUUUUGCCGCCCUACAGCAUCAGGAAGAGGAACAGCAGGACCGGGCUGCGCUUCACCUAUAAUGAUGGCAUCUGCCUGAACUCAGUUAACCUGAACUCCAUAACUGAAGCUAUGUUUAUUCUGUGCCUUUGAAGAUGUAUAGUGGUGGUGGAGACGAACUGAUCUUCCUGUUCGUACUCCUACAUUGCAUAUCUGAAUUUGGCCAAGAAUGGACCCCAAUGCUUCUCUUGCCUUAGAGGCAUGGUGACCUGCUCUGCCUCCCCCUAAUUUCUA
This is a long non-coding RNA of Triticum dicoccoides, 1781 nucleotides long. RefSeq lists it as uncharacterized. Lineage: Eukaryota; Viridiplantae; Streptophyta; Magnoliopsida; Poales; Poaceae. The record is from RefSeq and is a predicted model, not a curated record. The transcript has 12 exons.